AACGCUAGCGGCAGGCUUAAUACAUGCAAGUCGAGGGGCAGUCAAGGUACACGAAAGUGUAUUGUUGGCGACCGGCGGACGGGUGAGUAAUAGGUAGGUAACCUACCUCAUUACUGAGGCAUAGCUGGGAGAAAUUCCAGGUAAUUCCUCAUGAGGUUAUAUGACACAUGUGAUAUAAUCAAAGGUAUCGCAAGGUACUGGUAUGAGAUGGGCUUACUGACCAUUAGCUAGUUGGUGAGAUAAGAGCUCACCAAGGCGAAGAUGGUUAGGGGUUUUGAGAGAGAGAUCCCCCACAUUGGAACUGAGAUACGGUCCAGACUCCUACGGGAGGCAGCAGUAGGGAAUAUUGGGCAAUGGGCGGAAGCCUGACCCAGCCAUGCCGCGUGAAGGAAGACGGCCUUAUGGGUUGUAAACUUCUUUACUAUGCGACUAACUAGAUUUACGAGAUAAUUCUAUAGAAUGUAGCAUAGCAAAAAGCACCGGCUAACUCCGUG
This 494-nucleotide ribosomal RNA is filed under the name uncultured bacterium. RNAcentral's name for it is "bacterial SSU rRNA". It matches the Rfam family "Bacterial small subunit ribosomal RNA", at positions 32 to 507 of the family's 1533-position model. The record is from RNAcentral.